GACGAACGCUGGCGGCGUGCUUAACACAUGCGAGUCGAACGGAAAGGCCCUGCUUUUGUGGGGUGCUCGAGUGGCGAACGGGUGAGUAACACGUGAGUAACCUGCCCUUGACUUUGGGAUAACUUCAGGAAACUGGGGCUAAUACCGGAUAGGAGCUCCUGCUGCAUGGUGGGGGUUGGAAAGUUUCGGCGGUUGGGGAUGGACUCGCGGCUUAUCAGCUUGUUGGUGGGGUAGUGGCUUACCAAGGCUUUGACGGGUAGCCGGCCUGAGAGGGUGACCGGCCACAUUGGGACUGAGAUACGGCCCAGACUCCUACGGGAGGCAGCAGUGGGGAAUAUUGCACAAUGGGCGGGAGCCCGAUGCAGCAACGCCGCGUGCGGGAUGACGGCCUUCGGGUUGUAAACCGCUUUCGCCUGUGACGAAGCGUGAGUGACGGUAAUGGGUAAAGAAGCACCGGCUAACUACGUG
This 468-nucleotide ribosomal RNA is filed under the name uncultured bacterium. RNAcentral's name for it is "partial 16S ribosomal RNA". It matches the Rfam family "Bacterial small subunit ribosomal RNA", at positions 28 to 507 of the family's 1533-position model. The record is from RNAcentral.